CCUGAGAAACCCGAAAGUUCGAAUGGGGAGAUUCAUCGUCAGCGGACCCGGUGCGCGCGUGCAUCGCGAUGCUCCGUGGGGCCCCCGUGGUCCACCGGACACACGCUUGCUCGUGCGUCAGUUGCCGGGGUCUCGUCGGCGUGCACUUCUCCCCUAGUAGGACGUCGCGACCCGUUGGGUGUCGGUCUACGGCCCGGGGCAGAUGUCUGUUCUGUCGUCCCGUGCUUCGCGGCACGGCGUCGCGGGACAGCCCCCCGUGCGCCCGACCCGGCUGCCCGGCGGUACUCGUACGGUAUCGGGCCGCAAUCGAAUUGCGUCCGGCCCGCCGCAAGCGUGCGUCAGCAGUACACCCGGAUGUUCGGACCCAGUGCCGUCACCGGUCCUGACCAGCUGUUCGUCGGCGGUGCUCUUGGACAGGCCACAAUCGAGAUAUGUUACCGGUCGGCGACGCUAUUGCUUUGGGUACUCUCAGGACCCGUCUUGAAACACGGACCAAGGAGUCUAACAUGUGCGCGAGUCAUUGGGAACACGUUAAACCCAAAGGCGAAAUGAAAGUGAAGAUCGGCCUUGCGCCGAUCGAGGGAGGAUGGGUCGCGUCACGAUGCGACCCCGCACUCCCGGGGCGUCUCGUUCUCAUUGCGAGAAGAGGCGCACCCAGAGCGUACACGUUGGACCCGAA
Molecule: ribosomal RNA, 679 nt
Filed under: Xorides sp. NL412
Lineage: Eukaryota; Metazoa; Arthropoda; Insecta; Hymenoptera; Ichneumonidae
Description: eukaryotic LSU rRNA
Rfam family: Eukaryotic large subunit ribosomal RNA (bases 492-679)
Source: RNAcentral